RNAcentral lists this ribosomal RNA (264 nucleotides) under uncultured bacterium. RNAcentral's name for it is "partial 16S ribosomal RNA". It matches the Rfam family "Bacterial small subunit ribosomal RNA", at positions 90 to 354 of the family's 1533-position model. The record is from RNAcentral.
AGUUAGUGGCGGACGGGUGAGUAACGCGUGGAAAACCUGCCGUAUACUGGGGGAUAACACUUAGAAAUAGGUGCUAAUACCGCAUAAGCGCACAGCUUCGCAUGAAGCGGUGUGAAAAACUCCGGUGGUGUAAGAUGGACCCGCGUCUGAUUAGCUGGUUGGCGGGGUAACGGCCCACCAAGGCGACGAUCAGUAGCCGGCCUGAGAGGGUGAACGGCCACAUUGGGACUGAGACACGGCCCAAACUCCUACGGGAGGCAGCAG